GACGAACGCUGGCGGCGUGCUUAACACAUGCAAGUCGGACGGUAAGGCCCUUCGGGGUACACGAGUGGCGAACGGGUGAGUAACACGUGGGUGAUCUGCCCUGCACUUCGGGAUAAGCCUGGGAAACUGGGUCUAAUACCGGAUAGGACCACUGCCUGCAUGGGUGGUGGUGGAAAGCUUUUGCGGUGUGGGAUGGGCCCGCGGCCUAUCAGCUUGUUGGUGGGGUGAUGGCCUACCAAGGCGACGACGGGUAGCCGGCCUGAGAGGGUGACCGUCCACACUGGGACUGAGAUAGUGCCCAGACUCCUACGGGAGGCAGCAGUGGGGAAUAUUGCACAAUGGGCGCAAGCCUGAUGCAGCGACGCCGCGUGAGGGAUGACGGCCUUCGGGUUGUAAACCUCUUUCAGCACCGACGAAGCGCAAGUGACGGUAGGUGCAGAAGAAGGACCGGCCAACUACGUGCCAGCAGCCGCCGUAA
This 478-nucleotide ribosomal RNA is filed under the name uncultured bacterium. Its description in RNAcentral is "partial 16S ribosomal RNA". It matches the Rfam family "Bacterial small subunit ribosomal RNA", at positions 28 to 523 of the family's 1533-position model. The record is from RNAcentral.